UUCCGGUUGAUCCUGCCGGACCUGACUGCUAUCGGAUUGAUACUAAGCCGUGUGAGUCAUUGUAGCAAUACAAGGCAGACGGCUCAGUAACACGUAGUCAAUCUACCCUAUGGACGGGGAUAACCUCGGGAAACUGAGGAUAACACCCGAUAGAUCAUAAUUCCUGGAACGGUUUAUGGUUCAAACGAUUCGUCGCCGUAGGAUGGGACUGCGGCCUAUCAGCUUGUUGGUGAGGUAAUGGCCCACCAAGGCUAUUACAGGUACGGGCUCUGAGAGGAGAAGCCCGGAGAUGGGUACUGAGACACGGACCCAGGCCCUAUGGGGCGCAGCAGGCGAGAAACCUUUGCAAUGUGCGCAAGCACGACAAGGUUAAUCCGAGUGUUUCCUGCUAAAGGAAUCUUUUGUUAGUUGUAAAACCACUAUCGAAUAAGGGGUGGGCAAGUUCUGGUGUCAGCCGCCGCGGUAAAACCAGCACCUCAAGUGGUCAGGAGGAUUAUUGGGCCUAAAGCAUCCGUAGCCUGUUCUAUAAGUUUCCGGUUAAAUCCAUUAGCUCAACUAAUGGGCUGCCGAAAAUACUGUAGAACUAGGGAGUGGGAGAGGUAGACGGUAUUCGGUAGGAAGGGGUAAAAUCCUUUGAUCUAUUGAGGACCACCUGUGGCGAAGGCGGUCUACCAGAACACGUUCGACGGUGAGGGAUGAAAGCUGGGGGAGCAAACCGGAUUAGAUACCCGGGUAGUCCCAGCCGUAAACGAUGCAGACUCGGUGAUGCGCUGGCUUGUGGCCAGUGCAGUGCCGCAGGGAAGCCGUUAAGUUUGCCGCCUGGGAAGUACGUACGCAAGUAUGAAACUUAAAGGAAUUGGCGGGGGAGCACCACAAGGGGUGAAGCCUGCGGUUCAAUUGGAGUCAACGCCGGA
Molecule: ribosomal RNA, 914 nt
Filed under: uncultured archaeon
Lineage: Archaea
Description: bacterial SSU rRNA
Rfam family: Archaeal small subunit ribosomal RNA
Source: RNAcentral